GCCGUUGUGGCGAAAUUGGCAGACGCACAGCACUCAAAAUGCUGCGGGAAACCAUGUGGGUUCGAGUCCCACCAACGGCACCA
RNAcentral lists this transfer RNA (83 nucleotides) under Clostridia bacterium. RNAcentral describes it as "tRNA-Leu". It matches the Rfam family "tRNA". From Rfam's summary of the family: Transfer RNA (tRNA) molecules are approximately 80 nucleotides in length. Their secondary structure includes four short double-helical elements and three loops (D, anti-codon, and T loops). Lineage: Bacteria; Bacillati; Bacillota; Clostridia. The record is from RNAcentral.